GACGAACGCUGGCGGCGUGCUUAACACAUGCAAGUCGAACGGAAAGGCCCUGCUUUGGUGGGGUGCUCGAGUGGCGAACGGGUGAGUAACACGUGAGUAACCUGCCCUUGACUUUGGGAUAACUUCAGGAAACUGGGGCUAAUACCGGAUAGGAGCUCCUGCUGCAUGGUGGGGGUUGGAAAGUUUCGGCGGUUGGGGAUGGACUCGCGGCUUAUCAGCUUGUUGGUGGGGUAGUGGCUUACCAAGGCUUUGACGGGUAGCCGGCCUGAGAGGGUGACCGGCAACAUUGGGACUGAGAUACGGCCGAGCCUCCUCCGGGAGGCAGCAGUGGGGAAUAUUGCACAAUGGGCGGAAGCCUGAUGCAGCAACGCCGCGUGCGGGAUGACGGCCUUCGGGUUGUAACCCGCUUUCGCAUGUGACGAAGCGUGAGUGACGGUAAUGGGUAAAGAAGCACCGGCUAACUACGUG
Molecule: ribosomal RNA, 468 nt
Filed under: uncultured bacterium
Lineage: Bacteria
Description: partial 16S ribosomal RNA
Rfam family: Bacterial small subunit ribosomal RNA
Source: RNAcentral